UCUGGAAUAAUACGCCGAAAGGGGUACUAAUACCGGAUAUCUUGCUUUCAUAAGUUAUGCAAGCAAAGGUGGCCUCUGCAUAUGCUACUGCAUGAAGAGGGGUCUGCGUACCAUUAGCUAGUAGGUGGGGUAAUGGCCUACCUAGGCGACGAUGGUUAGCGGGUCUGAGAGGAUGAUCCGCCACACUGGCACUGGAACACGGGCCAGACUCCUACGGGAGGCAGCAGUGAGGAAUAUUGCGCAAUGGGGGAAACCCUGACGCAGCGACGCCGCGUGAGUGAGGGAAAGGCCUUCGGGUCGUAAAGCUCUGUCAAGAGGAAAGAAGUGUACAAUGGCUAAUACCUGUUGUAUUUGACGGUACCUCUAAAGGAAGCACCGGCUAACUCCGUGCCAGCAGCUGC
RNAcentral lists this ribosomal RNA (401 nucleotides) under uncultured bacterium. Its description in RNAcentral is "bacterial SSU rRNA". It matches the Rfam family "Bacterial small subunit ribosomal RNA", at positions 137 to 518 of the family's 1533-position model. The record is from RNAcentral.